GUGUCAGCAGCCGCGGUAAGACGAACCGUCCGAACGUUAUUCGGAAUCACUGGGCUUAAAGGGUGCGUAGGCGGCGCGGAAAGUUGGGUGUGAAAUCCCUCGGCUUAACCGAGGAACGGCGCCCAAAACUACCGUGCUCGAGGGAGAUAGAGGUGAGCGGAACUUAGGGUGGAGCGGUGAAAUGCGUUGAUAUCCUAAGGAACACCGGUGGCGAAAGCGGCUCACUGGAUCUCUUCUGACGCUGAUGCACGAAAGCUAGGGUAGCGAACGGGAUUAGAAACCCUCGUAGUCC
Molecule: ribosomal RNA, 292 nt
Filed under: uncultured bacterium
Lineage: Bacteria
Description: partial 16S ribosomal RNA
Rfam family: Bacterial small subunit ribosomal RNA
Source: RNAcentral